GUGUCAGCAGCCGCGGUAAUACGUAGGGGGCAAGCGUUGUCCGGAAUCAUUGGGCGUAAAGCGCGUGUAGGCGGCUCGGUAAGUCCGCUCUGAAAGUCCAGGGCUCAACCCUGGGAUGCGGGUGGAUACUGCCGGGCUCGAGUCCGGAAGAGGCGAGUGGAAUUCCCGGUGUAGCGGUGAAAUGCGCAGAUAUCGGGAGGAACACCAAUGGCGAAGGCAGCUCGCUGGGACGUGACUGACGCUGAGACGCGAAAGCGUGGGGAGCAAACAGGAUUAGAUACCCUGGUAGUCCACGCCGUAAACGAUGGACACUAGGUGUGGGAGGUGUCGACUCCUUCCGUGCCGAAGCUAACGCAUUAAGUGUCCCGCCUGGGGAGUACGGCCGCAAGGCUAAA
RNAcentral lists this ribosomal RNA (395 nucleotides) under uncultured bacterium. Its description in RNAcentral is "bacterial SSU rRNA". It matches the Rfam family "Bacterial small subunit ribosomal RNA", at positions 505 to 898 of the family's 1533-position model. The record is from RNAcentral.